CCUACGGGUGGCAGCAGUAGGGAAUCUUCCACAAUGGGCGAAAGCCUGAUGGAGCACCGCCGCGUGGGUGAAGAAGGUCUUCGGAUCGUAAAACCCUGUUGUUAGAGAAGAAAGUGCGUGAGAGUAACUGUUCACGUUUCGACGGUAUCUAACCAGAAAGCCACGGCUAACUACGUGCCAGCAGCCGCGGUAAUACGUAGGUGGCAAGCGUUAUCCGGAUUUAUUGGGCUGAAAGGGAACGAAGGCGGUCUUUUAAGUAUGAUGGGAAAGCCUUCGGCUUAACCGGAGUAGUGCAUUGGAAACUGGGAUACUUGAGUGCAGAAGAGGAGAGUGGAACUCCAUGUGUAGCGGUGAAAUGCGUAGAUAUAUGGAAGAACACCAGUGGCGAACGCGGCUCUCUGGUCUGUAACUGACGCUGAGGUUCGAAAGCGUGGGUAGCAAACAGGAUUAGAUACCCCAGUAGUC
Molecule: ribosomal RNA, 465 nt
Filed under: uncultured bacterium
Lineage: Bacteria
Description: partial 16S ribosomal RNA
Rfam family: Bacterial small subunit ribosomal RNA
Source: RNAcentral